CUUGGUAUAAGUUCUGGGGUCUCAUUCUUGACAAGAACGACUCCAGGGCCUAUGGAGAAUCCGGUAAUCAUCAGUAAAGUUCUCAUUUUGUAUAAUGCAAAAACUUACAUUUGCCAUUCUUAUCACAGCAUCGUAUGCGAUCCUCUACGUUGUGCCUGUGAUUUUCAUAGCUUUCUUCGGCAGCAUCUACAUGAAAUACAUCAAGAUGUUAAGGUAAAGCCUUGAAACAUUAACUUACUUGUCAUCUCCGGGAAUGCUUUCAGGCUGCCAGACUCCAUACGCAACGCUUGGUCUCGUCCAGCACUGAUCAAAGCGCCAAUACUCUCGCUCAUUUCUGGAGUAGAGCUCUUUGUUCUAGCGGCAUUCGUACUCCUGUGUGCAUGGUCGACAUGGCGGCCGAUAAAAACUUUGCUGGACAAGAUCCAUGAUCCUGGACAGCAGUGGAUUGAAGGAUCCCUGUAAGAUCACGAUGACAACUUCACAAAGUCAAGUUUUUGAUCGAAAUACCUUCGGUUUUUUUUUUCUUUAUAGGUGGCUCAGAAGAUGUGAAAUCAUUGGAUACGAGCUUGGUUAUGCUGGACUCGUCCCGUUCGCUUUCCUGUUCUUCCCAGUCGCAAGAACCUCCUCAAUUCUCCACUUGGUGAACAUU
RNAcentral lists this long non-coding RNA (649 nucleotides) under Selaginella moellendorffii. RNAcentral describes it as "long non-coding RNA (SMOE_LNC000498)". Lineage: Eukaryota; Viridiplantae; Streptophyta; Lycopodiopsida; Selaginellales; Selaginellaceae. The record is from RNAcentral.